GACGUAGGGCGCAAGCGUUGUUCGGAAUUAUUGGGCGUAAAGCGCGUGUAGGCGGUCUGAUUAGUCUGAUGUGAAAGCCCUGGGCUCAACCCAGGAAGUGCAUUGGAUACUGUCAGACUUGAAUACGGGAGAGGGUAGUGGAAUUCCUAGUGUAGGAGUGAAAUCCGUAGAUAUUAGGAGGAACACCGGUGGCGAAGGCGGCUACCUGGACCGAUAUUGACGCUGAGACGCGAAAGCGUGGGUAGCAAACAGG
This 253-nucleotide ribosomal RNA is filed under the name uncultured bacterium. RNAcentral's name for it is "partial 16S ribosomal RNA". It matches the Rfam family "Bacterial small subunit ribosomal RNA", at positions 524 to 776 of the family's 1533-position model. The record is from RNAcentral.